ACCAAGGUUCCACUUGGAACCACAAAGAUACAUUGACCGAGCAUG
This is a non-coding RNA of Meleagris gallopavo (turkey), 45 nucleotides long. NCBI's taxonomy places the organism in Eukaryota, Metazoa, Chordata, Aves, Galliformes, Phasianidae. The record is from Rfam.